GAUCAUGGCUCAGAACGAACGCUGGCGGCGCGUCUUAAGCAUGCAAGUCGAACGGCAAGAGGUAGCAAUACCUCCUAGAGUGGCGGACUGGUGAGUAACACGUGGGUGACAUACCCUUCAGAUGGGGAUAGCUAUUAGAAAUAGUGGAUAAUACCGAAUACGCUCAUGACCCUGUGGGGAUAUGAGGAAAACAGGCUACGGCCUGGCUCGAGGAUGGGCCCGCGUCCCAUUAGCUAGUUGGUGAGGUAACGGCCCACCAAGGCGACGAUGGGUAUCCGGCCUGAGAGGGUGUACGGACACAUUGGGACUGAGAUACGGCCCAAACUCCUACGGGAGGCAGCAGCUAAGAAUAUUCCGCAAUGGACGAAAGUCUGACGGAGCGACGCCGCGUGGAUGAAAAGAAGGCCGGAAGGUUGUAAAAUCCUUUUGCUGAUGAAGAAUAAGUGUGGUAGGGAAUGACCGCAUGAUGACAUUAGUCGGUGAAUAAGCCCCGGCUAACUACGUGCCAGCCGCAGC
This 516-nucleotide ribosomal RNA is filed under the name uncultured bacterium. RNAcentral describes it as "bacterial SSU rRNA". It matches the Rfam family "Bacterial small subunit ribosomal RNA", at positions 15 to 518 of the family's 1533-position model. The record is from RNAcentral.